Molecule: ribosomal RNA, 301 nt
Filed under: uncultured bacterium
Lineage: Bacteria
Description: partial 16S ribosomal RNA
Rfam family: Bacterial small subunit ribosomal RNA
Source: RNAcentral
CAGUCGCCACGGGAAUACGUAGGGUGCAAGCGUUAUCCGGAAUUAUUGGGCGUAAAGAGCUCGUAGGCGGUUUGUCGCGUCUGCUGUGAAAACUGGAGGCUCAACCUCCAGCCUGCAGUGGGUACGGGCAGACUAGAGUGCGGUAGGGGAGAUUGGAAUUCCUGGUGUAGCGGUGGAAUGCGCAGAUAUCAGGAGGAACACCGAUGGCGAAGGCAGAUCUCUGGGCCGUAACUGACGCUGAGGAGCGAAAGCAUGGGGAGCGAACAGGAUUAGAUACCCGGGUAGUCCCUGUCUCUUAUAC